CCUACGGGAGGCAGCAGUGAGGAAUAUUGGUCAAUGGACGAGAGUCUGAACCAGCCAAGUAGCGUGAAGGAUGACUGCCCUAUGGGUUGUAAACUUCUUUUAUAUGGGAAUAAAAUGUUCCACGUGUGGGAUUUUGUAUGUACCAUAUGAAUAAGGAUCGGCUAACUCCGGGCCAGCAGCCGCGGUAAUACGGAGGAUCCGAGCGUUAUCCGGAUUUAUUGGGGUUAAAGGGAGCGUAGGUGGAUUGUUAAGUCAGUUGUGAAAGGUUGCGGCUCAACCGUAAAAUUGCAGUUGAAACUGGCAGUCUUGAGUACAGUAGAGGUGGGCGGAAUGCGUGGUGUAGCGGUGAAAUGCUUAGAUAUCACGAAGAACUCCGAUUGCGAAGGCAGCUCACUGGACUGCAACUGACACUGAGGCUCGAAAGUGUGGGUAUCAAACAGGAUUAGAUACCCCAGUAGUC
RNAcentral lists this ribosomal RNA (460 nucleotides) under uncultured bacterium. RNAcentral describes it as "partial 16S ribosomal RNA". It matches the Rfam family "Bacterial small subunit ribosomal RNA", at positions 338 to 795 of the family's 1533-position model. The record is from RNAcentral.